Molecule: non-coding RNA, 101 nt
Organism: Anopheles culicifacies
Lineage: Eukaryota; Metazoa; Arthropoda; Insecta; Diptera; Culicidae
Source: Rfam
UAUGUUCUUAGUUCUGCUAACGGGGUAGGAUCCGAAGUUCCUUUUGGGGCCCUAUAGGCUCUCCUACUCAACUCCUAUUCCGUCACGUCCCCGUCGUGCAG